CAUUAGAGUUUGAUCCUGGCUCAGGACGAAGCGAGGGGCGGGCCUAAUACAUGCAAGUGGAACGCACAAGGUGCACGAAGUGUUACAUACACCGUACUUUGUGAGUCGCGAACGGGUGAGUAACGCGUAGGUAACCUACCUUUUAGCGGGGGAUAACUAUUGGAAACGAUAGCUAAUACCGCAUAAGAUAUCUUACUGCAUAGUAAGAUAUUAAAAGAUGCAAUUGCAUCACUAAGAGAUGGACCUGCGUUGUAUUAGCUAGUAGGUGAGGUAACGGCUCACCUAGGCAACGAUACAUAGCCGACCUGAGAGGGUGAUCGGCCACACUGGGACUGAGACACGGCCCAGACUCCUACGGGAGGCAGCAGUAGGGAAUCUUCGGCAAUGGGGGGAACCCUGACCGAGCAACGUUUUGUGAGUGAAGAAGGUUUUCGGAUCGUAAAGCUCUGUUGUAAGAGAAGAACGACCGUGAGAGUGGAAAGUUC
RNAcentral lists this ribosomal RNA (485 nucleotides) under uncultured bacterium. RNAcentral describes it as "bacterial SSU rRNA". It matches the Rfam family "Bacterial small subunit ribosomal RNA", at positions 1 to 474 of the family's 1533-position model. The record is from RNAcentral.